ACAAUUUUAUUUAUUAAUAAAGAUCAAGUAUACAUAGACGUAAAUAAGAAAAUCUCUUGUAUAUUUCAAGAGAUUUUGGUAGCUGAAUUCAAACAAACUGAUUAACACAAGUACUAAAAAUAUAUGUCCUUUAUUUUAUUUAUUAAACAGAAUAUAAAAGAGUAACAUUACACUUAACCACUGUAGUCAAGAUUUCUCCCGUAUUGAGGAACAACGAGAAGAUCAAGAUUGUCACAUAUGGUUUCAUCAUCAAAAAUAGCAAAGUGAGUGAAGAAACCCUCCGACCAUAUAUUCCCACCUGAAAAUUUUAUAUCAAAAAAUAUUUGUAAAUGCAAACAUUAAAAUAAUAAUCAUAAAUGGUAUUCAACUGAAAUUAGCCUAAAACCUGCGAAAGAUGUUUCCAUAUUCUUCAAAUCAGAAAAGAUAUCUGCAUGUGGCGAUUCGUAAUCAAAACUUCAAAAGCAAGUGAGUUGCUCUUGCGAGUU
RNAcentral lists this long non-coding RNA (485 nucleotides) under Citrus sinensis (sweet orange). RNAcentral's name for it is "long non-coding RNA (CSIN_LNC003106)". Lineage: Eukaryota; Viridiplantae; Streptophyta; Magnoliopsida; Sapindales; Rutaceae. The record is from RNAcentral.